This 28-nucleotide non-coding RNA is filed under the name Bombyx mori (domestic silkworm). The record is from RNAcentral. Lineage: Eukaryota; Metazoa; Arthropoda; Insecta; Lepidoptera; Bombycidae.
UAGACUUGUCCCUGAAAACCAACUCCUC